AUACUGGCCAGAGACCGAUAGCGCACAAGUAGAGUGAUCGAAAGAUGAAAAGCACUUUGGAAAGAGAGUCAAACAGCACGUGAAAUUGUUAAAAGGGAAGCGCUUGCAGCCAGACUUGCCUGUAGUUGCUCAUCCGGACUUUUGUCCGGUGCACUCUUCUAUAGGCAGGCCAGCAUCAGUUUGGGCGGUUGGAUAAAGGUCUCUGUCAUGUACCUCUCUUCGGGGAGAACUUAUAGGGGAGACGACAUGCAACCAGCCUGGACUGAGGUCCGCGCAUUUGCUAGGAUGCUGGCGUAAUGGCUGUAAGCGACCCGUCUUGAAACACGGACC
RNAcentral lists this ribosomal RNA (330 nucleotides) under uncultured fungus. RNAcentral describes it as "LSU rRNA". It matches the Rfam family "Eukaryotic large subunit ribosomal RNA", at positions 320 to 667 of the family's 3401-position model. Lineage: Eukaryota; Fungi. The record is from RNAcentral.